AUGACUCUCGACAAUAAAUAUCUUUGCACUCGCAUCAAUGAAGAACAUAGUGAAUGCAAUACUUGGUGUGAAUUGAAAAAUCUCGUGAAUCUUCAAGUCUUUGAAUGUGAGUUGUGCCCCAAGCCAAUAAGCGAAAGGCAUGCCUGUUUGGAUGUCAUGCAUCAUCACCCUUUCUAAACCCUUACCUAUUGGGCUCCAAGUGUGGGGGUUAAAAAUGGUUUCCCAUGAUCUCACUGGUUGUGGUUAGCCCAAAAGUGAGUCCCACUAAUGAUAGCACUGUGGCCAUUGGUGGUAAAGCUCUCAGACGUGUGCUCAUUGUCCAUCCAAACCCCAUCAAACCACCAAUUACUUGGUUGAUGUUGGCAUCACAACCCCAACUCAAGUGGGAUCACUCACUAAGUUUGAGCUUAUCAAUAAGUGGAGGAAAAGAAACUUACUAGAAUUCUCUUAGUAAUAGCAACUGAACCAAGAAUAGCCCAGCUUGAGAAUCAAGCACCCUUGGCAUCUAAAUUGUAGUCUAGAGAAACAUCCUAAAUGGCACAUUGAGCCCAAGUCCCCUUGAAAGGGGUGCCAAAGAGGGUGAGAGCCCUAUUGUGCUUGGACCUUAUCACAUCUUGAGGCAUUGUCUAUGAGUUAGGUUGGUUGGGAAUGCAACCCCAAUUGGGUGAUAAAUUCUGUCUAAGGCUGAAUAUGGGUGAAAGAUCAAUAGUGAACAUGUACGAUGAGGGAAAAUGAAAAGGACUUUGAAAAGAAGGUCAAAUAAUGCUUGAAAUUGUCAGAAGAGAAGUGGAUGGGGGUUGAUGAUGUGCCCUAGUCAGAUGUGGAAUGCCAAGAGCUGGUUCACCAAUCUGCUUAGGGCAUUGAUUGACAUGGGUAACAAUGAUAGCCCAAGGCUAUGCUUAUGAUAUGCCCAUGGACAUCACCAUAAUUGUGGAAUGUAGCACGUGCCAUCUCAGUGUGCCUUAGCACCAGUGUGCUCCUAGUGUUGGCCUACGAGCUCCUUAUUCAGCCUAUCUUGAAACACAAACUAAGGAGUUUGACAUGUGUGCAAGUUAAUGGGCUAGAAAACUCAUAAGGUGCAAGGAAGCUGAUUGGUAGGAUCCUUCGCGGGUGCACCACCAACUGACCUUGAUCUUCUUGGAAGGGUUCGAGUGUGAGCGUGCCUAUUAGGACCCGAAAGAUGGUGAACUAUGCCUAAGCAAGGCAUAGCCAGAGAAAACUCUGGUGGAGGCUUGCAAUGAUACUAACAUGCAAAUCAUUCAUCUGACUUAGGUAUAGGGGCAAAAGACUAAUGGAACUAUCUAGUAGCUAGCUUUUUUUUAAGUUUCCCUUUAAAAAAUUGGAGCCCUUAGCGAUUUCUAUUAGGUAAAGCCAAUGAUUAGAGGCAUCAGGGGUGCAAUGCCCUUGACCUAUUCUCAAACUUUAAAUAGGUAGGAUGUCAUGACUACUUUGUUGAGCUACAUCACAAAAUUGAGAGCUCUAAGUGGACCAUUUUUUAUAAGCAAAAUUGGUGAUGUAGGAUGAACCAGAUGCUAGACUACGGUGCCCAACUACGUGCUAACUUAGAACCAUGAAGGGUGUUGGUCGAUUAAGAUAGUAGGACAGUGGUCAUGGAAGUUGAAAUCCACUAAGGGGUGUGCAACAACUUACCUACCAAAUCAACUAGCCUUAAAAAUGGAUGGUAUUUAAGUACCUAACCUAUACUUGGUUAUUGGGGCAUAAGCUAGGCCCUGAUGAGUAGGAAGGCACAACAGUCACCAUAAAACCUAAGGCAUGAGCUUGGGUGGAGUGGCCAUUGGUGCAAAUCUUGGCGGUAGAAGCAAAUAUUUAAAUGAGAACUUUAAAGGUUGAAGAGGGGAAAAAUUCUAUGUGAAUAGCACUUACACAUGGGUUAGUGAUCCUAAGAGAUGGGGAAAGCCCAUCCGAUAGCACAUCUAGCAUGGGCUUCAAAGGUAAUCGAGUCAAAAUUCCUGAACCGAGAUGCGAUAGCUGAUGGCAACAUUAGGGAGUCUAGAGACAUCGAUGGGGGCCUUGAAAGGAGUUAUCUUUUCUAUUUAAUGGCUUGCCCACCCUAAAAAUGGCUCCAUUAAAGGUAUGAUCUAGCUAGCUAAAAGGGCAUCGCCUUUCACAUGGUGUUUGGUAUGCCCCGAUAGCCCUUGAAAAUCCACAGGACUGAGUGUUGUCCGCACCUAGUCAUACUCAUAACUAUAUCGGGUCUCCAAGGUGAAUAGCCUCUGGUUAAUGGAAAAUGUUGGAACCUUGGGAAAAAGAUUGGCUUUGAAGGCUAGGCAUAGGGAUCCUCAUCUCGAACCCAUUGACUACUGAUGCAUUACUCAAAUUGCUCCCUCGAUGAGAGCAGGUCAUCGUAUGCUGGCUAGGGGAUGAACUGGGAAUGGCUCCCUCAGGGGCCUUCCCUAAGUGAUAAACAGUCGACUCAAAACUAGUACAAAUAAGGGAAAUCCAAUUGUUUAAUUAAAACAAAGCAUUGUGAUGGUCCUUGUGGAUGCUUAUGCAAUGUGAUUUCUGCCCAAUGGUCUAACUAUUAAUGUGAAGAAAUUCAACCAUGCAUGCGUAAAUGGCGAUAGGACAUGACCACAACUUUUAGCAUUAUUUUUCUUAUUCCUUGAAUUUGAGGCAAGGCAUGACCUCUUUUUUUGGACCUAAUGUCAGCCUUGGUCAGUUGAUUUAAGCAAAAGACAUUAUCAGGUGAGGAGUUUGGCUGGGGCAGCACAUCUAUUAAAAGAUGAUGCAAAUGUCCCAAGAUGAGCUUAAUGAAAGCAGUAAUCGCGUGUGGAACGAAAGGGUAAAAGCUCGUUUGAUUCUGAUUUCCAAUACAAAUAUGAAUCAUGAAAGCAUGGCCUAUAAAUCCUUUAGACCUUCAAAAUUUGAAGCUAAAGGUGUCAAAAAAGUUACCAUAAGGAUAACUAGCUUGUGGUAGCCAAGCAUUCAUAGCAAUAUUACUUUUCGAUCCUUUGAUGUCGGCUCUUCCUAUCAUUGUGAAGUAGAAUUCACCAAGUCUUGGAUUGUUCACCCACCAAUAGGGAACGUGAGCUAGGUUUAGACCAUCAUGAGAAAAGUUAGUUUUACCCUACUGAUCGUAGUGUCAUAAUAAAAAUUCAACCUAGUACGAGAGGAACUGUUGAUUCACAUAAUUGGUCAUUGCACUUGGUUGAAAAGCCAAUGGCAUGAAGCUACCAUGCAUUGAAUUAUGGUUGAAUGCCUCUAAGUAGGAAUCUAGGCUAGAAGUGAAACACACACCCAUCACCCAAUUGUCAACCCACCAUAGGGGCCUAUGGCCCCUUGGGGUACAUGUCAUAGGCAUAGCCCCUAUGGUGGAAAAGCUGAUCAAGCUUUUUUGGAGCUUAAACCCACUGAACGAUAGGUAAAAUC
RNAcentral lists this ribosomal RNA (3390 nucleotides) under Durio zibethinus. RNAcentral describes it as "eukaryotic LSU rRNA". The stretch from base 369 to 3390 matches the Rfam family "Eukaryotic large subunit ribosomal RNA". The record is from RNAcentral. Lineage: Eukaryota; Viridiplantae; Streptophyta; Magnoliopsida; Malvales; Malvaceae.